UAAAGGGGCAAUGAGGAUGAGAAUUGGCCUUGCGGGCGCGGGAGACGUGCGCGGUGGAGGGAUCCUGCUAAACGCCUGGAGAUGAAAAGAUUUCCUGAGAUUAAUGAGGCAGCCAUUGAUUCUUUUCCUCCUAUCCAUACAUCUUCACAUUGGAGUUCCUUCCAUGCUGGGAAAGGGAAGCAGGAUCAGGAUGAAAUGGGCAAAUGCAUCAUUCUGAGCUGGGUGUGCAAUCUCCGUCCUCUUGACUCUUGUUUGUCUGGUCAACAUUGACUGGUUGCACUCAGGCAUGCUUCCCAAGAAACAAUCUGUUAGCCUGAGAAAACUCUGGAAAUGCAGGCCAACCUCAAAGCAGCAGCAAGUCUGAUUUUCCUGCCAAGAAUGCUGUCCAGCCCAUCUCUUGACCUUUUACCUCCCUAUUUCCAAAGCUGGAGUGUGAUAUCAGUCUACUUUAUUUCCCUACCUGCAGAGGCCAAACAGCAAGCCCCCCAACUGGAGUCUUUGAAGUUUCUCCCACUAAAAUAGAGCGGAGUGUCAGCACCACCUUCUCCCCUUCCACACCAGGGACCUCUCCUGGGCACUGAGGCAGGACAGGACAGAACACAGAAGCAACUCACUACGAAGCACUUGCUGUCAAAAUAUUAUCUCUUAUCUCCAACAGCUCAACUGUUUUGUAUCUUUGGUCAGGGA
Suricata suricatta (meerkat) is the source of this 687-nucleotide long non-coding RNA. RefSeq lists it as uncharacterized. NCBI's taxonomy places the organism in Eukaryota, Metazoa, Chordata, Mammalia, Carnivora, Herpestidae. The record is from RefSeq and is a predicted model, not a curated record. The transcript has 3 exons.